GUAGGUGGCAAGCGUUGUCCGGAUUUACUGGGUGUAAAGGGCGUGCAGCCGGGUCUGCAAGUCAGAUGUGAAAUCCAUGGGCUCAACCCAUGAACUGCAUUUGAAACUGUGGAUCUUGAGUGUCGGAGGGGCAAUCGGAAUUCCUAGUGUAGCGGUGAAAUGCGUAGAUAUUAGGAGGAACACCAGUGGCGAAGGCGGAUUGCUGGACGAUAACUGACGGUGAGGCGCGAAAGUGUGGGGAGCAAACAGGAUUAGAUACCCUGGUAGUCCACACUGUAAACGAUGAAUACUAGGUGUCGGGGAGCAAAGCUCUUCGGUGCCGCCGCAAACGCAUUAAGUAUUCCACCUGGGGAGU
This 355-nucleotide ribosomal RNA is filed under the name uncultured bacterium. Its description in RNAcentral is "bacterial SSU rRNA". It matches the Rfam family "Bacterial small subunit ribosomal RNA", at positions 527 to 881 of the family's 1533-position model. The record is from RNAcentral.